This is a long non-coding RNA of Syngnathus acus (greater pipefish), 282 nucleotides long. RefSeq lists it as uncharacterized. The record is from RefSeq and is a predicted model, not a curated record. The transcript has 2 exons. NCBI's taxonomy places the organism in Eukaryota, Metazoa, Chordata, Actinopteri, Syngnathiformes, Syngnathidae.
CGUACAACAUCUGCAGCCUGAAACGUGAGGGGAGGGGGUGAGGGGCAAAAAAAGCUGCUCUGUACUUAGAACAGCGGGGCGUCAGCUCAGCGCGGAUCACAAAGAGGUAUGCAUGACGAACACGGGAGGGAACGACAGUCUGUCUGGCAUCUGGCUACAAAAGCUCCUGUGCAAGAGCAGCCAGGACAUUCCAGUCAGAUCCCAGGAUACAGUGAAUGAGUGCUCUCUGUCCUUGGCAGAGCCAACCUGCAAUCAUUGAUGGGCAACGCCGAGGUUAAAAAA